UGCCGAACUCAGAAGUGAAACGCCGUAGCGCCGAUGGUAGUGUGGGGUCUCCCCAUGCGAGAGUAGGGAACUGCCAGGC
This 79-nucleotide ribosomal RNA is filed under the name Citrobacter freundii. The record is from RNAcentral. RNAcentral also lists the same sequence under 36 other names. Lineage: Bacteria; Pseudomonadati; Pseudomonadota; Gammaproteobacteria; Enterobacterales; Enterobacteriaceae.